RNAcentral lists this ribosomal RNA (460 nucleotides) under uncultured bacterium. RNAcentral describes it as "partial 16S ribosomal RNA". It matches the Rfam family "Bacterial small subunit ribosomal RNA", at positions 338 to 795 of the family's 1533-position model. The record is from RNAcentral.
CCUACGGGUGGCAGCAGUGAGGAAUAUUGGUCAAUGGGCGCGAGCCUGAACCAGCCAAGUAGCGUGAAGGAUGACUGCCCUACGGGUUGUAAACUUUUUUGAUAGAGGAAUAAAGUGAGGCACGUGUGCCUUAUAGUAUGUACUUUAUGAAUAAGGACCGGCUAACUCCGUGACAGCAGCCGAGGUAAUACGGAGGAGGCGAGCGUUAGCCGGAUUUAUUGGGUGUAAAGGGACAGUAGAUGGGUUGGUAAGUCAGUAGUGAAAGUUUGCGGCUCAACCGUAAAAUUGCAAUUGAGACUGGAAGUCUUGAGUACGGGUGAGGUAGGCGGAAUUCGUGGUGUAGCGGUGAAAUGCUUAGAUAUCACGAGGAACACCGAUGGCGAAGGCGGCUUGCUAGACUGCCACUGACGUUGAUGCUCGAAAGCGUGGGGAGCAAACAGGAUUAGAUACCCCGGUAGUC